GACGAACGCUGGCGGCGUGCUUAACACAUGCAAGUCGAACGGAAAGGCCCUGCUUUUGUGGGCUGCUCGAGCGGCGAUCGGGUGAGUAACACGUGUGUAACCUGCCCUUGACUUUGGGAGAAUUUCAGGAAACUGGGGCUAAUACCGGAUAGGAGCUCCUGCAGCACGGUGGGGGUUGGAAAGUUUCGGCGGUGGGGGAUGGACUCGCGGCUGAUCAGCUUGUUGGUGGGGUAGUGGCACACCAAGGCUCUGGAGGGUCGCCGGCAUGAGAGGGUAGCCGGCGUCAUUGGGACUGAGGUACGGCCCAGACUCCUACGGGAGGCAGCGGUGGGGAAUAUUGCGCAGUGGGGGGAAGCCUGAUGCAACGACGCCGCGUGCGGGAUGCCGGCCUUCGGGUUGUAAACCGCUUUCGCCUGUGACGAACAGUGAGUGACGGUAAUGGGUAAAGAAGCACCGGCUAACUACGUG
Molecule: ribosomal RNA, 468 nt
Filed under: uncultured bacterium
Lineage: Bacteria
Description: partial 16S ribosomal RNA
Rfam family: Bacterial small subunit ribosomal RNA
Source: RNAcentral